GUUUAUAACCACAGCUUCACGUCGUCUCAGAGCCCCGCCCUCUAUCUGACUGUGGGAGACUUGGUGACAAACCUGAUCAUCAGGGUGGUUGUGGUCCACUUCCUCCUGAUCAUGGGGACCAUCUCCCUCUUCUUCUACUGUCGGGCCAGUGGGGGGCGCUUCAGACUGAAGGCACGCAACACACCAUGAGAGACACCACCACGGACACAUCCACACCAGUGUCCAUCCUGCAGAAUAGUUGUGUGUUGUUUGUGUCCCAGUCCCAGUUCUGGUCCUGGAGUCCUGCUCCAGUCUGAAUGUUCAGUGUGUUUAUGUUUCAGCAGUUCCUGGUUCUUCUUGGACUUGGACCUAUUCAGUCCUGGGUUAGGGUUGGGGUUCUUGGACUUGGACUCAGACCUGUUCAGUCCUGGGUUAUGGGAAAUGCAUACAAGUGUGUGUAAAU
Molecule: long non-coding RNA, 442 nt
Organism: Sphaeramia orbicularis (orbiculate cardinalfish)
Lineage: Eukaryota; Metazoa; Chordata; Actinopteri; Kurtiformes; Apogonidae
Exons: 3
Source: RefSeq, a predicted model, not a curated record